Molecule: ribosomal RNA, 253 nt
Filed under: uncultured bacterium
Lineage: Bacteria
Description: partial 16S ribosomal RNA
Rfam family: Bacterial small subunit ribosomal RNA
Source: RNAcentral
UACGGGGGGGGCAAGCGUUGUUCGGAAUUACUGGGCGUAAAGGGCUCGUAGGUGGCCAACUAAGUCAGACGUGAAAUCCCUCGGCUUAACCGGGGAACUGCGUCUGAUACUGGAUGGCUAGAGGUUGGGAGAGGGAUGCGGAAUUCCAGGUGUAGCGGUGAAAUGCGUAGAUAUCUGGAGGAAUACCGGUGGCGAAGGCGGCAUCCUGGACCGGCAUUGACGCUGAUGAGCGAAAGCUAGGGGAGCAAACGGG